UGCAAGUCGUACGCAUAGCUUCGGCUAUGAGUGGCGCAAGGGUGAGUAAUGCGAAGGUAACCAACCCUGGAGUUGGGCAUAGCCGCGGGAAACUGCGGGUAAUACCCAGCGAUGUUACGAGAUGGCAUCAUCUUGUAACCAAAGGUGUGAUUCCGCUCUGGGACGGGCCUUCGUGGUAUUAGGUAGUUGGUGAGGUAACGGCUCACCAAGCCAACGAUGCCUACCGGGUGUGAGAGCAUGACCCGGCACACUGGAACUGAGACACUGUCCAGACACCUACGGGUGGCUGCAGUCGAGAAUCUUCGGCAAUGGGCGAAAGCCUGACCGAGCGACGCCGCGUGAGGGAAGAAGGCCUUCGGGUUGUAAACCUCUUUCGUAGAGGAGGAAGGGGCCGUGCAGAGCGGUCUUUGACCUAUGCUAGGAAGAAGCUUGGGCUAAGUUCGUGCCAGCAGCCGCGGUAAGACGAACCAAGCGAACGUUAUUCGGAAUUACUGGGCUUAAAGCGCGUGUAGGCGGAUGACCACGUCAGUCGUUGAAAUCCCCCGGCUCAACCGGGGAACAGGCGCUGAUACGAGUUAUCUGGAGGUGGGUAGGGGAGACUGGAACUUCCGGUGGAGCGGUGAAAUGCGUUGAGAUCGGAAGGAACGCCCGCGGCGAAAGCGAGUCUCUGGACCCAUACUGACGCUGAGACGCGAAAGCC
This 700-nucleotide ribosomal RNA is filed under the name uncultured bacterium. RNAcentral describes it as "bacterial SSU rRNA". It matches the Rfam family "Bacterial small subunit ribosomal RNA", at positions 56 to 761 of the family's 1533-position model. The record is from RNAcentral.